This 492-nucleotide ribosomal RNA is filed under the name uncultured bacterium. Its description in RNAcentral is "partial 16S ribosomal RNA". It matches the Rfam family "Bacterial small subunit ribosomal RNA", at positions 29 to 507 of the family's 1533-position model. The record is from RNAcentral.
AGUGAACGCUGGCGGUAGGCCUAACACAUGCAAGUCGAACGGCAGCACAGUAAGAGCUUGCUCUUACGGGUGGCGAGUGGCGGACGGGUGAGGAAUACAUCGGAAUCUACUUUUUCGUGGGGGAUAACGUAGGGAAACUUACGCUAAUACCGCAUACGACCUACGGGUGAAAGCAGGGGAUCUUCGGACCUUGCGCGAUUGAAUGAGCCGAUGUCGGAUUAGCUAGUUGGCGGGGUAAAGGCCCACCAAGGCGGCGAUCCGUAGCUGGUCUGAGAGGAUGAUCAGCCACACUGGAACUGAGACACGGUCCAGACUCCUACGGGAGGCAGCAGUGGGGAAUAUUGGACAAUGGGCGCAAGCCUGAUCCAGCCAUACCGCGUGAGUGAAGAAGGCCUUCGGGUUGUAAAGCCCUUUUGUUGGGAAAGAAAAGCAGCAGGUUAAUACCCCGCUGUUCUGACGGUACCCAAAGAAUAAGCACCGGCUAACUUCGUG